UGGGGAAUUUUGCACAAUGGGGGAAACCCUGAUGCAGCGACGCCGCGUGAUUUAGAAGGCCUUCGGGUUGUAAUAAUCUUUUGUAUGGGAAGAAAAUGACAGUACCAUACGAAUAAGGACCGGCUAAUUACGUGCCAGCAGCCGCGGUAAUACGUAAGGUCCGAGCGUUGUCCGGAAUCAUUGGGCGUAAAGGGUACGUAGGCGGAUAAGCAAGUUAGAAGUGAAAUCCUAUAGCUCAACUAUAGUAAGCUUUUAAAACUGCUCAUCUUGAGGUAUGGAAGGGAAAGUGGAAUUCCUAGUGUAGCGGUGAAAUGCGCAGAUAUUAGGAGGAAUACCGGUGGCGAAGGCGACUUUCUGGCCAUAUACUGACGAUGAGGUACGAAAGCGUGGGUAGCAAACAGG
This 402-nucleotide ribosomal RNA is filed under the name Verrucomicrobiota bacterium. RNAcentral describes it as "Verrucomicrobia bacterium partial 16S ribosomal RNA". It matches the Rfam family "Bacterial small subunit ribosomal RNA", at positions 355 to 776 of the family's 1533-position model. The record is from RNAcentral. Lineage: Bacteria; Pseudomonadati; Verrucomicrobiota.